RNAcentral lists this ribosomal RNA (446 nucleotides) under Araneus rotundulus. RNAcentral's name for it is "partial 16S large subunit ribosomal RNA". It matches the Rfam family "Bacterial large subunit ribosomal RNA", at positions 1816 to 2601 of the family's 2925-position model. The record is from RNAcentral. Lineage: Eukaryota; Metazoa; Arthropoda; Arachnida; Araneae; Araneidae.
UUCUUACUAACAUAAUAGUAAGUAACACCUGCCCAAUGAAAUUUUUAUGGCCGCGGAAAUUUAACCGUGCUAAGGUAGCAUAAUCAUUAGCCCCUUAAUUAGGGGCCAGCAUGAAAGGUUAUACCUCCCUCCCAUUUUAUUUUUUAAUAUAUUAGAAAUUAAAUUAAAAAUUAAAAUGUUUUUAUGAACUUAAAAGACGACAAGACCCUUUUGAACUUUACUAUUGUUUGGCUGGGGCAGCCAAACAAUAAUUAUCUUUAUCCUAAUAAUAUCAUAAAAGACCUUUUACCAUUAAUUAUAUGAACAAGUUACCAUAGGGAUAACAGCGUAAUAUUUUUCUAUAGCCCUUAUAUAAAAAAAUGUUUGCGACCUCGAUGUUGAAUUAGUCUAACUUUUUUAUGCAGUAAUUCUAAAAGUAGGUCUGUUCGACCUUUUAAAGGCUACAU